UUGACCUCGGAUCAGGUAGGAAUACCCGCUGAACUUAAGCAUAUCAAUAAGCGGAGGAAAAGAAACCAACAGGGAUUGCCCCAGUAACGGCGAGUGAAGCGGCAACAGCUCAAAUUUGAAAUCUGGCCCCUCCGGGUCCGAGUUGUAAUUUGUAGAGGAUGCUUUUGGUGAGGUGCCGCCCGAGUUCCCUGGAACGGGACGCCACAGAGGGUGAGAGCCCCGUCUGGCUGGCCACCGAGCCUCUGUAAAGCUCCUUCGACGAGUCGAGUAGUUUGGGAAUGCUGCUCAAAAUGGGAGGUAUAUGUCUUCUAAAGCUAAAUAUUGGCCAGAGACCGAUAGCGCACAAGUAGAGUGAUCGAAAGAUGAAAAGCACCUUGAAAAGAGGGUUAAACAGUACGUGAAAUUGUUGAAAGGGAAGCGCUUGUGACCAGACUUGGGCGCGGCGGAUCAUCCGGGGUUCUCUCCGGUGCACUUCGCCGCGUUCAGGCCAGCAUCAGUUCGUCGCGGGGGAAAAAGGCUUCGGGAACGUGGCUCCUCCGGGAGUGUUAUAGCCCGUUGCAUAAUACCCUGCGGUGGACUGAGGACCGCGCAUCUGCAAGAUGCGCUAU
This 608-nucleotide ribosomal RNA is filed under the name Trichoderma viride. RNAcentral's name for it is "eukaryotic LSU rRNA". It matches the Rfam family "Eukaryotic large subunit ribosomal RNA", at positions 1 to 617 of the family's 3401-position model. Lineage: Eukaryota; Fungi; Ascomycota; Sordariomycetes; Hypocreales; Hypocreaceae. The record is from RNAcentral.